RNAcentral lists this ribosomal RNA (506 nucleotides) under uncultured bacterium. Its description in RNAcentral is "partial 16S ribosomal RNA". It matches the Rfam family "Bacterial small subunit ribosomal RNA", at positions 28 to 523 of the family's 1533-position model. The record is from RNAcentral.
GAUGAACGCUAGCUACAGGCUUAACACAUGCAAGUCGAGGGGUAACGAGAGGAAAGCUUGCUUUCCUUGUCGACGACCGGCGCACGGGUGAGUAACGCGUAUCCAACCUGCCCCCAACUAGGGAAUAACCUUGCGAAAGUAAGACUAAUACCCUAUAAUUUCCUCAGAUGUCAUCUGACGAGGAAUAAAGAUUUAUCGGUUGUGGAUGGGGAUGCGUCUGAUUAGCUUGUUGGCGGGGUAACGGCCCACCAAGGCAACGAUCAGUAGGGGUUCUGAGAGGAAGGUCCCCCACAUUGGAACUGAGACACGGUCCAAACUCCUACGGGAGGCAGCAGUGAGGAAUAUUGGUCAAUGGGCGGAAGCCUGAACCAGCCAAGUAGCGUGCAGGAUGACGGCCCUAUGGGUCGUAAACUGCUUUUAUACAGGAAUAAAGUUAGCCACGUGUGGCUAUUUGUAGGUACUGUAUGAAUAAGGACCGGCUAAUUCCGUGCCAGCCGCCGCAGUAA